UCAAUGGCCUAACGGCUGAACCGGUAACUUGGGAAAAUGAAUAUUGUUUAUCAAAUAAAAUUUUGUCUAUAUAUUGAUAAUGACAAUAUAUAUAAACAGUCUUGACUAAUUGCGUGCCAGCCGUCGCGGUAAUACGUAAGAGGCAAGCAUUAUUCAUCUUUAUUAGGUGUAAAGGGUACUCAGACUGUCAAAUUGACCUUGAUUAAGGUAAAUAAGUAUUUGACUAGAGUUUAAUAUAGGAAGAUAGUACUUUUAAGUGUAGAGAUUAAAUUCUGUAAUACUAUGGGGACUGGUUAAGGCGAAGGCAAUCUUCUAUGUAAAAACUGACGUUAAAGGACGAAGGCUUGGAGAGUAAAUAGGAUUAGAUACCCUGGUAACCCUAGCAGAAAAUGAUGAGUGCCAUAAGUUAGAUUUUCGAAUUUAGUUUAUAAACGAAAUUGAAAGCAUUCCACCUCAAGAGUAUAGUGGCAACACCGGAACUGAAAUCACUAGGCCGUUUCUAACACCAGUAGUGAAGUAUGUUAUUUAAUUCGAUGAUCCGCGAAAAACCUUACCACAAUUGGAAUACUUGAUAAUUAGUAAUAAAAUUACUUUUAUUACUUAAAAAUUGAGCACAAAUAAUACAGGUGUUGCACGGUUGUUUUCAGUUUAUGUUGUGAAACCGUGGAGUUUUUUCACGUAAUAAACAAAAUCCCUAUCUCUAUUUAUUUAUUAAUAGAGAAUUUUUAUCUAGUCUCAUAGUUUAGAUAUAAUAAAAAAAAGGGAGAAAGACAAAUCAUCAUGGCCCUAA
This 790-nucleotide ribosomal RNA is filed under the name Aniptodera chesapeakensis. RNAcentral's name for it is "mitochondrial SSU rRNA". It matches the Rfam family "Bacterial small subunit ribosomal RNA", at positions 368 to 1204 of the family's 1533-position model. The record is from RNAcentral. Lineage: Eukaryota; Fungi; Ascomycota; Sordariomycetes; Microascales; Halosphaeriaceae.